GACGAACGCUGGCGGCGUGCUUAACACAUGCAAGUCGAACGAUGAAGCUGGAGCUUGCUCCGGUGGAUUAGUGGCGAACGGGUGAGUAACACGUGAGCAAUCUGCCCUUGACUCUGGGAUAACUGCGGGAAACUGUAGCUAAUACCGGAUACGAGACCUGAAGGCAUCUUCGGGUCUGGAAAGAAUUUCGGUCAAGGAUGAGCUCGCGGCCUAUCAGCUUGUUGGUGAGGUAAUGGCUAACCAAGGCGACGACGGGUAGCCGCCCUGAGAGGGCGACCGGCCACACUGGGACUGGGACACGGCCCAGACUCCUACGGGAGGCAGCAGUGGGGAAUAUUGCACAAUGGGCGAAAGCCUGAUGCAGCAACGCCGCGUGAGGGAUGAAGGCCUCCGGGUUGUAAACCUCUUUUAGCAGGGAAGAAGCGAAAGUGACGGUACCUGCAGAAAAAGCACCGGCUAACUACGUGCCAGCCGCCGCAGUAA
This 483-nucleotide ribosomal RNA is filed under the name uncultured bacterium. RNAcentral describes it as "partial 16S ribosomal RNA". It matches the Rfam family "Bacterial small subunit ribosomal RNA", at positions 28 to 523 of the family's 1533-position model. The record is from RNAcentral.